Molecule: non-coding RNA, 82 nt
Filed under: unclassified sequences
Source: RNAcentral
ACCUAUCUUUAUAUACACCUUUUCGCGGUGAUAGGUAUAAGUAAAUUAAUUUAAUUUUAAAUUAAUUGAAACCAAGAUAUAU